Molecule: ribosomal RNA, 253 nt
Filed under: uncultured bacterium
Lineage: Bacteria
Description: partial 16S ribosomal RNA
Rfam family: Bacterial small subunit ribosomal RNA
Source: RNAcentral
UACAGAGGUCUCGAGCGUUAAUCGGAGUCACUGGGCUUAAAGGGUGCGUAGGCGGGUCUGUAAGUGCCUUGUGAAAUCCCAUGGCUCAACCAUGGAAUUGCUCGGUAGACUGCAGGCCUUGAGGUCGGUAGGGGCAGCUGGAACUCUAGGUGGAGCGGUGAAAUGCGUAGAUAUCUAGAGGAACGCCGAAGGUGAAGACAAGCUGCUGGGCCGAUUCUGACGCUGAGGCACGAAAGCGUGGGGAGCAAACGGG